This 240-nucleotide unclassified non-coding RNA is filed under the name soil metagenome. RNAcentral's name for it is "partial contains 5.8S ribosomal RNA, internal transcribed spacer 2, and large subunit ribosomal RNA". The record is from RNAcentral.
AACUGAUACUACCUGCGGGAACCUGCGGAAGGAUCAUUACCGAGUUAGGGUAGUCACUCACUGCCCGACCUCCCGACCCUGUGUCUACCACACUUUGUCGUUGCUUCGGCGGACCGGUUGACCAACUGGUCGUGACCGCCGGGGGCUGGCUCUGUCCCCCCUGGAGAGCGUCCGUCGAUGGCCCAACCACAAAACUCUUGUACCGAAACGUGUCGUCUGAAUUAUAUUUGAGAAAUCAAA